This 66-nucleotide transfer RNA is filed under the name Wakarumbia fasciata. RNAcentral describes it as "tRNA-Phe". Lineage: Eukaryota; Metazoa; Arthropoda; Insecta; Coleoptera; Lycidae. RNAcentral also lists the same sequence under 1 other name. The record is from RNAcentral.
AUAUUUUAAAGUAAAUCUACUUUCUUAAUAUCUUCAAUAUUAUGCUUUAAAUAAGCUAUUAAAAUA